CCUACGGGAGGCUGCAGUGGGGAAUAUUGGGCAAUGGGCGCAAGCCUGACCCAGCCACGCCGCGUGAAUGAAGAAGGCUCUAGGGUUGUUAACCUUCUUUAAGAGGGAAGUGAAGAAGACGGUACCUCUUGAUUAAGCUAUGGCUAACUACGUGCCAGCAGCUGCGGUAAUACGUAGGUCGCAAGUGUUGUCCGGAUUUACUGGGUGUAAAGGGCGUGCAGCCGGGAAGACAAGUCAGCUGUGAAAUCCCGCGGCUCAACCGCAGAACUGCAUUUGAAAAUGGUUUUCUUGAGUACCGGAGAGGUCAUCGGAAUGCCUUGUGUAGCGGUGAAAUGCGUAGAUAUAAGGAAGAACACCGAUGGCGAAGGCAGAUGACUGGACGGCAACUGACGGUGAGGCGCGAAAGCGUGGGGAGCAAACAGGAUUAGAUACCCUUGUAGUC
RNAcentral lists this ribosomal RNA (442 nucleotides) under uncultured bacterium. RNAcentral describes it as "partial 16S ribosomal RNA". It matches the Rfam family "Bacterial small subunit ribosomal RNA", at positions 338 to 795 of the family's 1533-position model. The record is from RNAcentral.